RNAcentral lists this non-coding RNA (535 nucleotides) under Felis catus (domestic cat). RNAcentral's name for it is "Archaeal large subunit ribosomal RNA". It matches the Rfam family "Eukaryotic large subunit ribosomal RNA", at positions 2445 to 2988 of the family's 3401-position model. The record is from Rfam by way of RNAcentral. Lineage: Eukaryota; Metazoa; Chordata; Mammalia; Carnivora; Felidae.
GAGGCCCUGGAAGAGGUCUUCAAGAGGCUGCAGUUCAAGGUUGGGAGUCUGGAUGAAGAUGGUGCCUUAGCCUUCUUCAACAUAAUUGAGUACGCUGAGUGGGCCAUCCUUCUCAAAUCUUGUUCAACAAGCACAUUACCAGUGGGGGCUGGCAGGCUGCCAUACAGGCCUGGGGUGAUAUACCUGUCAAACCGUAAUGCAGGUGUCCUAAGGUGAGCUCAGGAAGGUGAGCUUCCAUGGAGCAGAAGGACAAAUGCUCCCUUGAUCUUGAUUUUCAGUGUGAAUACACAUUGUGAAAACAGGCCCUCAUGAUCCUUCUGAUAUCUGGGUAAGUUUUAAGUAGGAGGUGUCAGAAGAGUUACCACAAGGAUAACUGGCUUGUGGUGGCCAAACAUUCAUAACAAUGUUGCUUUAUGAUCCUUUGAAAUAGUCUCUUCCUAUCAUUGUGAAGUAGAAUUCACCAAGCAUUGGUGAAUUAUUCAUUCAUUAAUAGGGAAGGAGAGUCGGGAUUAGACCAUCAUGGGAUAGGUUAGUU